UUUGCUAAUGAAAUAUUUCAAAGCCUUCAGCAAAAGACCAAGGACACCGCCAAAGCAUGGCUUGAUGAGCAGUGUGUAGGUCUGCCCCCGGGAUCUGAACCCACAAACCCUGGGCAGCUGAAGUGGAGUGUCCUAACCUAACCACUACGCCACUGGGCUGGCCCCAGAAGUUUUUAAUUAAGAGGGAUUCAGUAAGGAAGACAAGUAAAGGUUUAGAAGUCAGCUUUUCCAGUUGGCCUGACUUCCAUGGCUUGCUUUUAUCCAUAAACUCUAUCAGCUGAGGAAACCUGAGGACAUCUUUGAAGUUGGCAGAGCAUAUGUGACCCACGUAUGUGAACCAUUUGAAGUAUGCCAUGGAUAUCUGCAUGAAAGUUCUAGACUUGUUGGUGGUCCUCUCCAAUUUUUCUGCCUUGUUGGCCUCUUGGCCUUCUGUUUGGGACUCAUGCUUCAAGCUUUUUCCUUCAUCUAGCCCUUUGGAUGACCGUCUCAAUUUUGGACUUACAACCAGGACUUCAAAGCACUUUGUUAGGUCUCAAUCCUAAAGUUCUACUUCUCUAUUUAUGAAUCAGAACUGUGAAUGAGCACAUUCUUACAUUGUGGAAUCUGCUCUG
Molecule: long non-coding RNA, 611 nt
Filed under: Equus caballus (horse)
Lineage: Eukaryota; Metazoa; Chordata; Mammalia; Perissodactyla; Equidae
Description: lncRNA (ENSECAG00000060347.1)
Source: RNAcentral